UGGGGAAUAUUGCACAAUGGGCGCAAGCCUGAUGCAGCCAUGCCGCGUGUAUGAAGAAGGCCUUCGGGUUGUAAAGUACUUUCAGCGGGGAGGAAGGUGUUGUGGUUAAUAACCUCAGCAAUUGACGUUACCCGCAGAAGAAGCACCGGCUAACUCCGUGCCAGCAGCCGCGGUAAUACGGAGGGUGCAAGCGUUAAUCGGAAUUACUGGGCGUAAAGCGCACGCAGGCGGUCUGUCAAGUCGGAUGUGAAAUCCCCGGGCUCAACCUGGGAACUGCAUCCGAAACUGGCAGGCUUGAGUCGUGUAGAGGGGGGUAGAAUUCCAGGUGUAGCGGUGAAAUGCGUAGAGAUCUGGAGGAAUACCGGUGGCGAAGGCGGCCCCCUGGACAAAGACUGACGCUCAGGUGCGAAAGCGUGGGGAGCAAACA
Molecule: ribosomal RNA, 427 nt
Filed under: uncultured bacterium
Lineage: Bacteria
Description: partial 16S ribosomal RNA
Rfam family: Bacterial small subunit ribosomal RNA
Source: RNAcentral